GGCGACGUAGCCAAGUGGUAAGGCAGGGCUCUGCAAAAGCCCCAUUCGGCAGUUCAAAUCUGCCCGUCGCCUCCA
Molecule: transfer RNA, 75 nt
Filed under: Bacillati bacterium
Lineage: Bacteria; Bacillati
Also listed under: 7 other names
Description: tRNA-Cys
Rfam family: tRNA
About the family: Transfer RNA (tRNA) molecules are approximately 80 nucleotides in length. Their secondary structure includes four short double-helical elements and three loops (D, anti-codon, and T loops). Further hydrogen bonds mediate the characteristic L-shaped molecular structure. tRNAs have two regions of fundamental functional importance: the anti-codon, which is responsible for specific mRNA codon recognition, and the 3' end, to which the tRNAs corresponding amino acid is attached (by aminoacyl-tRNA synthetases). tRNAs cope with the degeneracy of the genetic code in two manners: having more than one tRNA (with a specific anti-codon) for a particular amino acid; and 'wobble' base-pairing, i.e. permitting non-standard base-pairing at the 3rd anti-codon position.
Source: RNAcentral